Sinocyclocheilus rhinocerous is the source of this 178-nucleotide long non-coding RNA. RefSeq lists it as uncharacterized. The transcript is spliced from 3 exons. The record is from RefSeq and is a predicted model, not a curated record. NCBI's taxonomy places the organism in Eukaryota, Metazoa, Chordata, Actinopteri, Cypriniformes, Cyprinidae.
CAAGAUACACAGGACUCUUGGAUUCAAUGUGACUGCUGUAAUGGGUGGUUUCACUGGGAAUGUGUUAACCAACCCAAUAUAAAAGAUGUUUUUGUUUGUCCUGGAUGCCAAGGCCCUGUUUAAUUUUGUAAUAGGAUUUCUACGCACCAUUUGAUUAGAUGCCCAUAUAAUCCCCAGC